UUACGACUUUCAUUCCCAAAUUUGUCCAUCCCUAACCUACCGCCGCACAUUCCUUUUUCCCAUCACUCUCUUCUCUUUUGCUCUGCCGUGACCAGUGACCAGUCCCGCCUCACAUCUCGCCUCCGCUAGUGAUCAGUCCGCUGUGAAACCGGCGACGCUCUCUGAUUCUCUCCAUCUCCAGCUCCAAAGAAACCGUCGGGUCUAGCCAGCUCCAAAGAAGCCCAGCUCUUCCAUUCUCAUUCUCUCAUCUUUUCUGCUGCUCCGCCAGUGAUAUUCAGCCAUAAUAGUAUCAACUCCAUCAAUUGGUGUACGUGAUUUGGUGAGGGCGCACCUCAAGGAAGACCAAGCUGUGGUGGUCUACAGUCUGGGGCAACCUCUGGUGAUACAAGAUGUUUUAGCGGAUCCCCCAAAGAAAAUGGAGGUCCGUAUCCAGAUCCUCUGCACUUCAAUUUGCCACACCGAUCUUGGAGCUUGGCUGGGCACGGUAUGAGACAAACCAUCCUAUAACGACAACUUUGCUUCGCUGAAUUGAUUCACAGAUAGAUUUGUGAUUGCUUAAAUGGUAAAUUGAAUUGAAUUGAAUUGACUCUUGGGUAUUGGCCGCCAUCUGAUCUGACAUGUACGUUUCUAUCAUCAAUCCUGGGAAUCAAAAAAGAAUGAAGCUCAAAGAGUGUAUAGUCGAAUUCUAGGACAUGAAGCUUCAGGGUAAGGUUAAAAUUUCCCCUGUUAAAUUACUUUGCUCUUUUUGUCCUUCUUCCUGCUACUGUAAAUAUUGUUGAUAUAAGGUCGUCGUCCUCCAAGCCAAGGUAAUAAUACACAUAGCUACGCGAUUUUUCUUGUCUUUCGUACGUGUUCAGCUUUAUGGAUUUGUUGUCCAUAACCUGUUCGAUAAAAUGUCAACCUUCUUUCCUUUGGUACUGAUAUUAAUUUACUCAAUAAUAUAUACACUAAUAGAAAUUUAGUGAAAAGAAACUCAUUUUCUAGUAUUGAUACUACACUAAUUUGUAGCUUUGACAAUAACACAAGAAGUAAAUCCCUAUUUAGAAGCCAGUAUUCUCAUUCUACUGGCUACUUUGGCAUGGAGAUCAUUUUGAUUUUGUGUAACAAUGAAUGUUUACUGCUAUGUUCUACUGUAGCUUGAAAUAACUCAUAUAGUCGUCAAUUUAAUCAAUCUAGGAUGAGUAAACGAAUUGUGUCAAUAUAUAUACUCACAUAAGACUCUGUUGCUGAUAAGUGUAUGGUUCCUUGUGAACUCGAAGGUGAUAAGUUGAGCUGAACUUGUAAUUUUUUUUAAUGUGCAAGUAUUAUGAUCAUUGCUUUAUAAGUUGGUAGAUACACAUGUUCCGUUGUUUUUUACUGUAUUUCAAAUUUUGUUAUCUUCUGAUUAAUCUAUGAAAAAAUGCAAUCUCCUUGUUGGAAUAUGAUUAUGGUUAUGUUGUUGGUUUAGUGACAGAACAAGUGAAGGACUUAGAUUAAGUUGUUCUGUCAUCGAAAUAUCUCAUCUUAGUUUCUUGAACAUUUUGGGUUUAACUAUUUUGUCUUUACACCAAAACAGAAAGCUGUAAUUCUAUUUGAAUACCUUAGUUAAUGAGACAGAAGAAGUGCACUUUCUCCACAAUGAAAUAUCUUUUCUAGUGUUUUAUUAGUAUGAAUUCCUUGCAAGUAGUGUCUAAUCAGUCUAACCUAUAUCCAAUCUGGGAAAAUAAGGAGCUUUAGUUUGGGACGUAAAUGCUAAAGUCUCAUUAUAGUGAUGGAAUGGAAAGUACGAGUAAUAGCUUCAUAUGUGACUACAUUAGUAGCCAGUUUAAUAAGACCUUAACACUUGUCAGUUAGGCUCUUAUCCUGACGAUCAGCUGAUUUCAAAAGUAGACUGCCAAAGCAACAAUUUGACCUUCUACUUAAGCAAGGGGACAAACUUUUGAACUCUGGACUGACGUGAAAGACUUCCACAAAUUCUCAGGUCUCACAUUGAAAAGAGAAAGCCAUCCACGUGGUUUUCUGAACAUAAUGAAUCUAUUAUCUUCUUUAAACGUUAACUAAACUCUUCUGUGAUAGCUGCAGGAAGAUAAAAGAAGAAUAGCUGAGAGUUCAUUGCUGACAACAUGGGAAAAAAAAUGGCAAUGCCACUCUUAUUCACUCUUUUUGUGAGCUAUAGAUUAUUUAUCUCUGAAAGCAACCUUAAAAUCACCUGAUCGCAGAAAUAUUUUGCUUGGAUAUGGUUCAUAGGUUACGUCAUAGUAUAAGGACAUUUCAGAAUUGCCUUUUCUGUAUUAGAAGUAUUCCAGCUGAGAAAUAAAAGAUGGGUAGAAAAUUUCUAUUUACCUCCUUGUUUUAUGUGAUGUAUCUCAGUACCAAAGAUAGCAUAAAGAGGCAAGAAUCCUUAUCUUACCCUUGAAGGAGGCCCUGCUGAAUCUUCGUACAGUAUCUACUUGUCAAAUCAACCUUCAUUUUUUUUAGGUCCCUUCUAAUCUAGACAAUCAUUUUUUUUAGGUCCCUUCUAAUCUAGACAAUUUCUGGAUCUAUCCCUGAUGCAUGGGAUGUUAGGUUCCCUCUAUUUAUUCCGGGCUGGAAAAUUCUACACUUUUUAUCACAUUCCUAGCUGACAGACAAGUAGAACUUGUAAGUACUUGAUUACUGCAAUAAGUCCAAGUGAGCAAUUGAUUAGACCGUAUGAUUUGCAACAAACAAUUCAAGAUGCACUUGGUGUACCAAUUGCUUGGCCUUGUCAUUUGGUGGAACCAAUUGAAGAUUGAUGGGGUAUUCGUGGUUAUGCCGAAAGGCUCUCAUUUCAUUGGAAAAUUUGGAAGCUACUGCAAGUUCUUUCUACUUGUUAGGGAUGAGAAUCUUUUAAUUUGUGCACAAGAGAAUCUUUCAAGUUUGUAUUUGUUAGGGAUUUGCUAUGUUAGUACUUGUUACUAGCUUUUAAUUCAAUAAAUUAUAUUUAACUA
Molecule: non-coding RNA, 2948 nt
Organism: Coffea arabica (coffee)
Lineage: Eukaryota; Viridiplantae; Streptophyta; Magnoliopsida; Gentianales; Rubiaceae
Source: RefSeq, a predicted model, not a curated record